Mercenaria mercenaria is the source of this 567-nucleotide long non-coding RNA. RefSeq lists it as uncharacterized. The transcript has 4 exons. The record is from RefSeq and is a predicted model, not a curated record. NCBI's taxonomy places the organism in Eukaryota, Metazoa, Mollusca, Bivalvia, Venerida, Veneridae.
UUAUAUGCGUCGUCAAAAUUAUAAGGAAUAAUGUUCAUUUCUUUGUUGUAAAAGUAUAUACUGUCAUGUAGUGUUUGUCCUGAUAGAAGGACGGAAACAAAAUUAAAUUAAAACAACAAUAAAAAUGGUGUUUAGUUAUACUAUUUACGAAGGAUGUGGUCGAGAUGGGAGUUCCUUUUAUUUAUAUAAAAUGAGAACGGGAAGCUCAGUAGAUCAAGCUACAGAAUCGGAAUCACAAUCACAUUCAACAUACAAGAAGAAAUGAAAAAUAUAACAGUGUUAUGUCUUAUAAUUUGCCUUUGCAUGGCAUCAUCGUUUGCAGAUGAGAAGUUGUUCAGAGUAAAGCGGCUUACUUGUGGAGGUAUUAUUGAAAGAUAUAUGGGGAACAGAGCUUGUAAUGCACACUGUCGAAUAAUUAGGAAAGGUAGAGGGGAAUGUAGUGGCGGAACCUGCUAUUGUCGUGGUCGCUGAUCACAGUAAUAUUAGCAGGAGUGUUGUUCUGUUGUUUGUUCGUGCUCUAGUUUCAUUAUAUCUAUUUGUUCACGAAAUAAACGUUUGUACAUUAUA